Molecule: long non-coding RNA, 259 nt
Filed under: Lathyrus oleraceus (garden pea)
Lineage: Eukaryota; Viridiplantae; Streptophyta; Magnoliopsida; Fabales; Fabaceae
Description: Pisum sativum (pea) long non-coding RNA (PSAT_LNC023018)
Source: RNAcentral
AGCUUUUUACCAACUCAAGAACACCACUUAAAAUUUAAUAACAAAGAGAUAAAAACACAAGUAUUUUUAUACUGGUUCGCUUGAAACUCAAAGUUACUCCAGUCCAUCCGCCAAGGUGAUUUCUCCUUAUACAUAAGAACUUAAUCCACUAUAAUUAACUGGUUACAAUAAUCACAAAGAAUAACCUUCUUUGUCUUCUUAAGGAUCCGACUAUACCAUAGUCUCCUUAAGGACUCACAAAGAAUAACCUUCUUUAUCU